GCUAUAAUUGUCAGCUAAGUGGCGCACGGGUGAGUAAUGUAUAGAUAACCUGCCCUUAAGAAAGGAAUAACAGUUGGAAACGACUGCUAAUGCCCUAUAUGCCUUUAAUACAUAAGUAUGCAAGGGAAACGCUUUAGUGCUUAAGGAUGGGUCUGUAUGGUAUCAGCUUGUUGGUGAGGCAAUGGCUCACCAAGGCUAUGACGCCUAACUGGUUUGAGAGGAUGAUCAGUCACACUGGAACUGAGACACGGUCCAGACUCCUACGGGAGGCAGCAGUGGGGAAUAUUGCACAAUGGACGAAAGUCUGAUGCAGCAACGCCGCGUGGAGGAUGACACAUUUCGGUGCGUAAACUCCUUUUAUAUAGGAAGAUAAUGACGGUACUAUAUGAAUAAGCACCGGCUAACUCCGUGCCAGCAGCCGCGGUAAUACGGAGGGUGCAAGCGUUACUCGGAAUCACUGGGCGUAAAGAGCGUGUAGGCGGGUAUAUAAGUCAGAAGUGAAAUCCAAUAGCUCAACUAUUGAACUGCUUUUGAAACUGUAUACCUAGAAUGUGGGAGAGGUAGAUGGAAUUUCUGGUGUAGGGGUAAAAUCCGUAGAGAUCAGAAGGAAUACCGAUUGCGAAGGCGAUCUACUGGAACAUUAUUGACGCUGAGACGCGAAAGCGUGGGGAGCAAACAGGAUUAGAUACCCUGGUAGUCCACGCCCUAAACGAUGUACACUAGUUGUUGUGAGGCUCGACCUUGCAGUAAUGCAGUUAACACAUUAAGUGUACCGCCUGGGGAGUACGGUCGCAAGAUUAA
Molecule: ribosomal RNA, 801 nt
Filed under: uncultured bacterium
Lineage: Bacteria
Description: bacterial SSU rRNA
Rfam family: Bacterial small subunit ribosomal RNA
Source: RNAcentral